This 253-nucleotide ribosomal RNA is filed under the name uncultured bacterium. RNAcentral describes it as "partial 16S ribosomal RNA". It matches the Rfam family "Bacterial small subunit ribosomal RNA", at positions 524 to 776 of the family's 1533-position model. The record is from RNAcentral.
UACGUAGGGGGCAAGCGUUGUCCGGAAUCAUUGGGCGUAAAGAGCGCGUAGGCGGCCCGAUAAGUCCGCUGUGAAAGUCAAGGGCUCAACCCUUGAAUGCCGGUGGAUACUGUCGGGCUAGAGUCCGGAAGAGGCGAGUGGAAUUCUUGGUGUAGCGGUGAAAUGCGCAGAUAUCAGGAGGAACACCGAUGGCGAAGGCAGCCCCCUGGGUCAAAACUGACGCUCAUGCACGAAAGCGUGGGGAGCAAACAGG